UAGGGAAUCUUCGGCAAUGGACGAAAGUCUGACCGAGCAACGCCGCGUGAGUGAAGAAGGUUUUCGGAUCGUAAAACUCUGUUGUUAGAGAAGAACAAGGACGUUAGUAACUGAACGUCCCCUGACGGUAUCUAACCAGAAAGCCACGGCUAACUACGUGCCAGCAGCCGCGGUAAUACGUAGGUGGCAAGCGUUGUCCGGAUUUAUUGGGCGUAAAGCGAGCGCAGGCGGUUUCUUAAGUCUGAUGUGAAAGCCCCCGGCUCAACCGGGGAGGGUCAUUGGAAGCUGGGAGCCUUGCGUGCAGAAGAGGAGAGUGGAAUUCCAUGUGUAGCGGUGAAAUGCGUAGAUAUAUGGAGGAACACCAGUGGCGAAGGCGGCUCUCUGGUCUGUAACUGACGCUGAGGCUCGAAAGCGUGGGGAGCAAACAGG
RNAcentral lists this ribosomal RNA (429 nucleotides) under Gemmatimonadota bacterium. Its description in RNAcentral is "Gemmatimonadetes bacterium partial 16S ribosomal RNA". It matches the Rfam family "Bacterial small subunit ribosomal RNA", at positions 355 to 776 of the family's 1533-position model. The record is from RNAcentral. Lineage: Bacteria; Pseudomonadati; Gemmatimonadota.